GCUGCUCUAACGGGGUGCCUUUUGUUCCAUCGGGACGAAAUGCUGAGAGGCGAAAGCCAACCCGCGGAACCUGAUCCGGUUAACACCGGCGGAGGGAUUAGACGCGUCGAUCGC
Molecule: regulatory RNA element, 114 nt
Organism: Rhizobium sp. PDO1-076
Lineage: Bacteria; Pseudomonadati; Pseudomonadota; Alphaproteobacteria; Hyphomicrobiales; Rhizobiaceae
Rfam family: TPP riboswitch aptamer (THI element)
About the family: Vitamin B(1) in its active form thiamin pyrophosphate (TPP) is an essential coenzyme that is synthesised by coupling of pyrimidine and thiazole moieties in bacteria. The previously detected thiamin-regulatory element, thi box was extended, resulting in a new, highly conserved RNA secondary structure, the THI element, which is widely distributed in eubacteria and also occurs in some archaea.
Source: Rfam